GGUUUUUAUGGUAAUUGGAAGGGCUGGGCAAACACACAGAGAAAUAAGUUAAUGGGAAGACAGAAUUCUUCUUCUCCUCCUCCUCCCCCAACCAACUUCUGCUGUCUUUUUCAGUUGGAAUCUAGCUGGGAUCAGAAUGGAUGCAGCUAAUAGCUUAUAAUCAUGCUCAAAGCAUCCUAUUUGGAAAAAGCUUCAGGAGUGGUUUUACUCAUUGCAAGGCAGAUUAUUCAAUACAAGGAACCUUCCAGGAACUUGAAACAACAGGAGAAAGGAGAAAGGUGUGUGGAAAGAUAUGUCAUGUCUGUCAGGAGCAAUUUGUGAAAAGCAACAACUUUCACUGUGUGUGCCUCAUCAUCUGGGAAACCUGAUGAAAUAUAAUCAGUCUACAAUCAUUAAGCUUGUGUCAGACACUGUAGUAAAAUCUGAGGAUGUGAAGAAAAGCAAAUAUGGAGUUCCUGCUUUCAGUAAACUCAUAUUCCAACUGCAAAUUUUAAAGAUGAGGCAGCCGAAGCAAGGAGGUGUAAAUGACUGGCUUAGGGUCACCGAACUGCUAUAUGAGGAGAAAGUGUUUUCCUUAGAGGACUCAAAUUCACAACAGACUGCUGACAUCUAUCCAUGGACCACUUCUGAAGUUAACAAUCUUUGUCAUGAAGAGUAGAAAGUAUGUCAAAGGAAGGACAACAGUACAGGAGAGCUAUUUGUAGAACUAGUAAAAACAUACAUUGUUUUAAAUAGGUUGAAAUUGGAUAAAGAAUGAGACAUAAACAAAGUAAGCUAGAGAUCUUAAUGAAAGGAGGCAAGUUUGAACUCCUAAGAAUCAUUAGGACAUGAUGGAAUACAAUUUUGUGAUUGAAUGGAAAGAUAUUUAUUCAAAAAUAAAACUCAUUGACAACAGAGGUGGUAGGGUAAU
This 910-nucleotide long non-coding RNA is filed under the name Monodelphis domestica (gray short-tailed opossum). RNAcentral describes it as "lncRNA (ENSMODG00000032493.2)". The record is from RNAcentral. Lineage: Eukaryota; Metazoa; Chordata; Mammalia; Didelphimorphia; Didelphidae.